UGGGAGAUAUUGGACAAUGGGCGCAAGCCUGAUCCAGCAAUGCCGCGUGGGUGAAGAAGGUCUUCGGAUUGUAAAGCCCUUUCGACGGGGAGCGAUGAUGACGGUACCCGUACGAAGAAGCCCCGGCCUAACAUUCGUGCCAGCAGCCGCGGUAAUACGAAGGGGCGUAGCGUUGCUCGGAAUGACUGGGCGUAAAGGGCGCGUAGGCGGCUUGCACAGUCAGGCGUGAAAUUCCUGGGCUCAACCUGGGGACUGCGCUUGAGACGUGUGGGCUUGAGUGGGGAAGAGGGUCGUGGAAUUCCCAGUGUAGAGGUGAAAUUCGUAGAUAUUGGGAAGAACACCGGUGGCGAAGGCGGCGACCUGGUCCUUGACUGACGCUGAGGCGCGAAAGCGUGGGGAGCAAACA
This 406-nucleotide ribosomal RNA is filed under the name uncultured Acetobacteraceae bacterium. Its description in RNAcentral is "bacterial SSU rRNA". It matches the Rfam family "Bacterial small subunit ribosomal RNA", at positions 355 to 774 of the family's 1533-position model. Lineage: Bacteria; Pseudomonadati; Pseudomonadota; Alphaproteobacteria; Acetobacterales; Acetobacteraceae. The record is from RNAcentral.